This 1716-nucleotide long non-coding RNA is filed under the name Onthophagus taurus. RNAcentral describes it as "uncharacterized LOC111428742". Lineage: Eukaryota; Metazoa; Arthropoda; Insecta; Coleoptera; Scarabaeidae. The record is from RNAcentral.
CCUUUUGGGCAGCGGCGGCUAUUUUUGAGCGGGAUGCACGGAUGACAGAUCUACUUUUUCGAUAAAAACCGCGCCUUUUGGAGAAAUCCGAUACCGGGGCCAAGCGUUAAUCAUAACCUGAGAACGUCAUACCCACCCUCUCUACCCACAGGGAUACCAUUUUUUGGCACUUACAAUCACCAAUCAGUCCAAGAACUCUACUACUAUCUGACUAAACACGCCUUCAUCAUUUGUAUUUUUAUGAAAGUGACAACAUCACUUUUACUAAUCUUAUUUAUCAUUUUGCAAACAUUUAUUUUACACGACGAUAAGUUUAAGUAAAGUUAAAUACAUUUAAUUAAUAUAUAGUUGUUUAGGUAGUUAAAUCAGCAUCAAAAAAGAACAGAGGUAGUUUCGACUCCCUUCUCCAGACAAUGAUGUGGCUGAACGGAUGAAGAAGAAUGAAAAAGAAGCCUACCUUAUUUCUUAUUCCUCAAUUUGAUGGUGACUUGAGAAGAACGGAUGGUAUACGAUGAGAGGACAAGGAAAAUAAUGGGGUCGUAUUUACAAAAAUUGAUGGAAUUGUUUGUUUAUAUGUGCAUAUUUUGUGCUGGGAGAGUCCGAUGCGAACUCAGAAGAUGAAUACUCAUGAUCCUGACAGGAAAGAUUAAGUACGAGCAUGACCACUGGAAUGAAGAGUAUAUUGAUAUCUACCAGUUUCUGCAGUUUUUAAUGGGCAGCGAAGGGCUUUCGUAGCCCCACACUCCCGGCAGAAGCAAUUUUAUCCAUCCAGUCCAUUGUGGAGAGACGCCAACAGUUUUGCCUCCCUUUGUGACAAAAAAAAGUGUUGGGUUGGGUUGGGAAAAAAAUAUCAUGUGUAGAGACAAAAUAUCUUUGAGAAUAUAAAAUAUCAUGGGCAGAAAUGAAAUAUUAAGGGCAGAAGUAAAUUAUCAAAGAUAGAAGCGACGUAUUACUAGAAGAACGUUUGUUGGGUUGAGUUGGGUUGGGUUUAAAUCCUUAAAAGCCAAAUUGUACUACUUUUUUUUUGAUAUUAUCAACACAAUGUGCUUCACAUUCAAUGUGCAACACCUCUCUGGCUUUUUCUCAACCUCGGUUUGGGCUGGGUUUGCUUGGGUUCGUGGAAGAACCGAAGGAAGAAGAAAACCAGGUAGUGGAAAGUCGAAAGAACCAAGAUUGCGAAAAGCCAUGAGAAUAGCAACCAAUGAGAUAAGAAGACAGGAAGGACAACAACGCAUGAAAGGGGAUCUCUCUUCUCCUCGAUUGAAUUACCAGAGUCUAACAGAUGCCUAAGAUAAAGAGAAUAAGAAGUAGAUGCAAAAUAGUAAGAUAUCUUGGGGAGAAACAAAAUACCACGUGUAGAAAUGAUAAAUAUCAAGGGCAAAAGUAUUUGAUUGACGACAUAUUACAAUCAGAAGUAGAUGAUCAUAAACUGAUUCGGCCAGAAAUGAAAUGUCAUGUGCAGAAGCAAAAUACCUUCAUGGGAAGCAAAAUUUCUUGGACUGAAGCAGAACAUCAUAAGCAGAAAUAAAAUAUUAUACAGCUAAAGUCAUUUUACCAUGAUAUUACUGACUAUUUAGUAGUUUCAAACUGUUUUCAGAAUCAAAAUAUCUCGGGCAGAAAUAAAGCAACUGCUCAGAAUAAUUAAUAAAUUUGAUAAUUAAAUACUAUGUACUUAAUCAAACUUAUCUCCAAAUACAUAGAAUUGUUAAGAAUUUA